GUAAGAUAUUGAUGUUCGUAACUGUUAUCACGAUUUUUUGACAUGCAGUUAGCAGCAGUAAUUGAUAACGGUAAUGAACUGAUAAAUAUAAAAUUCAACUAUUGCUAUGGCCCCGACGUUGCGUUUUAUUCUUUAAUAUUUACAUAGUAAGUAUUAUUAUAAUUUAUAUUUACUAUUUAUUUUGAUUUUGAUUCAUAAUCUUUGGAAAAAUUAAAAGAAGAAUAAUUUACUUAAAUUAAAGAUGAUCAGACAAAACCUAAUUCAUCGAUUAGGCCAAUAGAUAUCAGCAGCUAAUAUUAUUCCAACAAAGUAGUAUACCUCUUGUCUACUUACAUUAUAACUCUAAUGCUUAAUGACUUUAAUAAGUUCUGAACCAACAAAAAUUAAUGUAAAUGAAUUCCUACUUAAUACAUAAGUGAGAAAAUAUUGAUUGAUAAGGAAUACUAAAAGAAAUAUUAAGUUUAUAUCAUUAGAUGCAUGUAUAAUUUAAGGCAACAGAAGUAGAGGUUCAAAUAACUAAGGGAAGACAUAUAAAUAUUCAUUCGUUUUGUAAUUUUAAUAUAAUAUGAUAACAAAUAAAAAUAGUCAUAAUUGGAGAUGAUAGAAUUUACAAACCAUCUCUUAUCUAUCUCCUUGUAACAAUUCAUAAGAAGUUUAAAAUAAAAUUGAAAAAGGCACAAAAACAAGAAUGUAAUGAUAAAUAAAUGUUGCAUAUUUAUAUAUUAUUAGGAGUUCAUAAUGAUUAUUUAAAAAAAUAUUCAAAGUAUAACAUAAUAAGUUAAUAAUUUAUAUUUUAGUGUUGAGUAAUUUUUUUUUAAAUAUAUUAAAUACUUUUCAAAUAUACUGAGAUCGUUUAAUAUUUCAGUUCUUAUUUGAUACAAAACAUCAAAUUAUAAAACAAAGUUAUGUGUUAAACAGUUGGAAAAUAGAUUUAAAUGUGUUAAUCUCAAAAAUGGUGUUAAACACACACACUAAGAAAUUUUCAAAAUUAAGACAAAAUAUUACCAAAUAAAAAUAUAUAAUUAUAAAAAAAAAUAAUACAUUUGAAUAUAAUAAAGAAUAAUACAAUUAUUUAUGUAUAAUUUAGUAUUAAAUG
Long non-coding RNA from Daktulosphaira vitifoliae (grape phylloxera), 1096 nucleotides. RefSeq lists it as uncharacterized. The record is from RefSeq and is a predicted model, not a curated record. NCBI's taxonomy places the organism in Eukaryota, Metazoa, Arthropoda, Insecta, Hemiptera, Phylloxeridae. The transcript has 3 exons.